AAAGUGGUGCAAUAUCUCCUCCAGUUUCCCUUCGGAGACUGCGAGAGAGUAUGGAAGGAGGUUUUACCAUCGGCCGAUCCAGAACAACUGCUCAAUCUCAUGGCCGAGCAGAUUUACCAAAGCCCCUUGGCGGAAUCUGCCACCACAAGUGCAACAUCUCACCAGCCUGUGGCACGCAUCCUCAGGAUGGAAGGACUACAAGGCAGCUGGUGCGCUGGAACUUCCCACAGCUGCUGAUCGCUCUCCUGGGGAUGGUUGUCAACUUCCACUACUAUCCAGGAAUU
Non-coding RNA from Podarcis muralis (Common wall lizard), 284 nucleotides. The record is from RefSeq and is a predicted model, not a curated record. Lineage: Eukaryota; Metazoa; Chordata; Lepidosauria; Squamata; Lacertidae.